GUGAUUAUUUUAAGUUGUGUUGAUGUAGCUUGGUAAUGCUCUCUGAGGCGCAAUCCCAAGUAGGGGUUGGGUGGAGGAUGUAGUUCUCAAAAGCAUGGUCCUUCCAAUAGCAUUAGCAUCAUCUAUGAAUUUAUUAAUACUGAUUCAUUACCUACUACCAUUCUAGUGAAUGAGAACAAGAAACAAAUAGUUUGAUUAUUUUGAGUUCUUUUAAAACACAUGGUUAAAUAAGGUUUUGAAAACCAUUAUUGUAAGGGCUGUGGUGGUGUAGUGUUAGCUCACUGGUAGAGCGUUUGCCUAAUGUGUGUGAGGCACUGGGUUUGAUCCUUAGCACCACACGAAGGUAUAAAAAUACAUGGACGAGGGGCUGGGGAUGU
Molecule: long non-coding RNA, 377 nt
Filed under: Marmota monax (woodchuck)
Lineage: Eukaryota; Metazoa; Chordata; Mammalia; Rodentia; Sciuridae
Source: RNAcentral